This 497-nucleotide ribosomal RNA is filed under the name uncultured bacterium. Its description in RNAcentral is "partial 16S ribosomal RNA". It matches the Rfam family "Bacterial small subunit ribosomal RNA", at positions 28 to 507 of the family's 1533-position model. The record is from RNAcentral.
GGUGAACGCUGGCGGCGUGCCUAAUACAUGCAAGUCGAACGAACACACGAGGAGCUUUCUCCCCUGCCGGUAGCGGCGGGCGGGUGGGUAACACGUGGAUAACCUUCCUCUUAUACUUGGGUAACUUCGGGGAAACGGUGCCAAUACCAGAUAAUAUAUUGUACCGCAUGGUUCAAUAGUUAAAGACGGUUUUGCUGUUACUUUUAGAUGGAUCCGCGGCGGAUUAGAUAGUUGGUAAGGUAACGGCUUACCAAGGCAACGGAGCGUAGCCGAUCUGAGAGGGGGAUCGGCAACACUGGAACUGAGACACGGUCAAGACUCGUACGGGAGGCAGAAGUGGGGAAUAUUGGACAAUGGGCGCAAGACUGAUCCAGCAAUUCCGCGUGGGUGAAGAAGGCCUUCGGGUUGUAAAGCCCUUUUAUGGGGAAAGAAAAGCAGCAGGUUAAUAUCCCGCUGUUGUGACGGUACCCAAAGAAUAAGCACCGGCUAACUUCGUG